GACGCGUACGAGAAGACUGUCGGCGUGGGAGGGAAGCUGGACAACAUCCUCACAGUCAUCCGCAUCGCCUUCUUCUUCGACGACAAGGAGCUCGCCAAGAAGGAGAUCGACCGCGCCAAGGUGGAGCUCAGCAAGGGAGGUGACUGGGAGCGGCGG
This 156-nucleotide small nuclear RNA is filed under the name Alexandrium tamarense. Its description in RNAcentral is "partial Dictyostelium signal recognition particle". Lineage: Eukaryota; Dinophyceae; Gonyaulacales; Pyrocystaceae. The record is from RNAcentral.